UCGAAGCCGCUGCGGUUUUGUUCCCCCAUUUAUCUUCGAUUUCACAGUAAGGAACUGUGGUUGAGGCUGUGUUGUUGCGGGCUGUGAGAAAAAGAAUUUUGGUCGCGUGGUUAAAUCGCAAUCGAGUCGUCGUAAUAUCUGAGCUAUCAAAGUGACU
Molecule: non-coding RNA, 157 nt
Organism: Arachis ipaensis
Lineage: Eukaryota; Viridiplantae; Streptophyta; Magnoliopsida; Fabales; Fabaceae
Source: RefSeq, a predicted model, not a curated record